GUAGGGAAUAUUGGGCAAUGGUCGGAAGACUGACCCAGCCAUGCCGCGUGCAGGAAGACGGCCCUCUGGGUUGUAAACUGCUUUUAUCUGGGAAGAAAAAGGCCAUGCGUGGCAAAUUGCCGGUACCAGAUGAAUAAGCACCGGCUAACUCCGUGCCAGCAGCCGCGGUAAUACGGAGGGUGCGAGCGGUGUCCGGAUUUAUUGGGUUUAAAGGGUGCGUAGGCGGCUGAUUAAGUCAGCGGUGAAAGACUUCGGCUUAACCGGAGCAGUGCCGUUGAUACUGGUUGGCUUGAGUGUCGGAGGGGUACAUGGAAUUGAUGGUGUAGCGGUGAAAUGCAUAGAUACCAUCAGGAACACCGAUAGCGAAGGCAUUGUACUGGCCGACAACUGACGCUGAUGCACGAAAGUGUGGGGAUCGAACAGGAUUAGAUACCCGGGUAGUCC
This 444-nucleotide ribosomal RNA is filed under the name uncultured bacterium. Its description in RNAcentral is "partial 16S ribosomal RNA". It matches the Rfam family "Bacterial small subunit ribosomal RNA", at positions 354 to 796 of the family's 1533-position model. The record is from RNAcentral.